GGCUCGGUAGCUUAGUUGGUAAAGCACUUGUCUAGCGACGAAUAAGGGGCGUGAGUUCAAAUCUCACCUGAGCUG
Aedes albopictus (Asian tiger mosquito) is the source of this 75-nucleotide non-coding RNA. Lineage: Eukaryota; Metazoa; Arthropoda; Insecta; Diptera; Culicidae. The record is from Rfam.